ACCUGGCUGGCUCAAUUGGAGGAGCGUGUGACUCUUGAUCUUGUGGUUGUGAGUUCCAGCCCCACGUUGGGUG
RNAcentral lists this transfer RNA (73 nucleotides) under Ailuropoda melanoleuca (giant panda). It matches the Rfam family "tRNA". Rfam says of the family: Transfer RNA (tRNA) molecules are approximately 80 nucleotides in length. Their secondary structure includes four short double-helical elements and three loops (D, anti-codon, and T loops). The record is from Rfam by way of RNAcentral. Lineage: Eukaryota; Metazoa; Chordata; Mammalia; Carnivora; Ursidae.